RNAcentral lists this ribosomal RNA (497 nucleotides) under uncultured bacterium. RNAcentral describes it as "partial 16S ribosomal RNA". It matches the Rfam family "Bacterial small subunit ribosomal RNA", at positions 28 to 507 of the family's 1533-position model. The record is from RNAcentral.
GAUGAACGCUGGCGGCGCGCCUAAUACAUGCAAGUCGAGCGAACGGACGAGAAGCUUGCUCCUCUGAUGUUAGCGGCGGACGGGUGAGUAACACGUGGAUAACCUACCUAUAAGACUGGGAUAACUUCGGGAAACCGGAGCUAAUACCGGAUAAUAUUUUGAACCGCAUGGUUCAAAAGUGAAAGACGGUUUUGCUGUCACUUAUAGAUGGAUCCGCGCUGCAUUAGCUAGUUGGUAAGGUAACGGCUUACCAAGGCAACGAUGCUUAGCCGACCUGAGAGGGUGAUCGGCCACACUGGAACUGAGACACGGUCCAGACUCCUACGGGAGGCAGCAGUAGGGAAUCUUCCGCAAUGGGCGAAAGCCUGACGGAGCAACGCCGCGUGAGUGAUGAAGGUCUUCGGAUCGUAAAACUCUGUUAUUAGGGAAGAACAUAUGUGUAAGUAACUGUGCACAUCUUGACGGUACCUAAUCAGAAAGCCACGGCUAACUACGUG